This 423-nucleotide ribosomal RNA is filed under the name uncultured bacterium. Its description in RNAcentral is "bacterial SSU rRNA". It matches the Rfam family "Bacterial small subunit ribosomal RNA", at positions 39 to 494 of the family's 1533-position model. The record is from RNAcentral.
GGCCGCGGGAAUUCGAUUCAGGCCUAACACAUGCAAGUCGAACGGAUCCUUCGGGAUUAGUGGCGGACGGGUGAGUAACACGUGGGAACGUGCCCUUUGGUUCGGAACAACUCAGGGAAACUUGAGCUAAUACCGGAUGUGCCCUUCGGGGGAAAGAUUUAUCGCCAUUGGAGCGGCCCGCGUCUGAUUAGCUAGUUGGUGAGGUAAAGGCUCACCAAGGCGACGAUCCAGUAGCUGGUCUGAGAGGAUGAUCAGCCACAUUGGGACUGAGACACGGCCCAAACUCCUACGGGAGGCAGCAGUGGGGAAUCUUGCGCAAUGGGCGAAAGCCUGACGCAGCCAUGCCGCGUGAAUGAUGAAGGUCUUAGGAUUGUAAAAUUUUUCACCGGGGACGAUAAUGACGGUACCCGGAGAAGAAGCCCC